GAUUUUCAUACAAAAAUAGAAAAAAAAAACAAUAAAUUUUGGGGGUUCCCCAUACUUGGAAAUGAAACUCAAAAAAAUUUUUUUUAUUAAACCCAUACGUGUGGAUAUCUAUGGAUAGGUCUUCAAAAAUGAUAUUGAGGUUUCUAAUAUAAUUUUUUUUCUGAACUGAAUAGUUUGCGCGAGACACUUCCAAAGUGGUAAAAUGUGUGCCCCCCCCCCCCCGUAACUUCUAAAAUAAGAGAAUGAUAAA
Long non-coding RNA from Cydia strobilella, 250 nucleotides. RefSeq lists it as uncharacterized. The transcript has 2 exons. The record is from RefSeq and is a predicted model, not a curated record. Lineage: Eukaryota; Metazoa; Arthropoda; Insecta; Lepidoptera; Tortricidae.